CAACAACCUCUCCCUGAACCUGUCCCCCUUCCUGGAGGACAGCCUCCGAUUCUUCUUUGAGGCAUCAGAGCUGGAGUGCACCUGCGAGAAGUGCCUUGGCCGCCAGGCCACCGUUACGAGGAGUUUCCUCACUCUGCCCCGAGUGCUGGUGCUUCACAUGAAGCGUUUCUGCUACAGUGGGGG
This is a long non-coding RNA of Myripristis murdjan (pinecone soldierfish), 183 nucleotides long. RefSeq lists it as uncharacterized. The record is from RefSeq and is a predicted model, not a curated record. NCBI's taxonomy places the organism in Eukaryota, Metazoa, Chordata, Actinopteri, Holocentriformes, Holocentridae. The transcript is spliced from 3 exons.